GGUGGCGUAGGGGUCAGAUGACCAAAGAUCUGAUUGUGCGGUAAAAACAAGCAACAAGGAAAUCAAAAGCUGUAACGCAAAGAUCAGUGGUGAGAUCUACCCGACGACGUGCUGCUGCUGCUGCUCGGGCUCUGUAUGCACACUGGGCCCAGGUGUGUACCAUGUCGCUGAUUAACCUCCCGAUCGGUCUGCAGCCCUGGAGAGAAAGCAAGCAGGAGCAGAGUGAACCAGGCAGGGGGGCCGUCACAACAGCGAGGGCAGCAAAAUCCUUGACUGCAACACUGUAGACUGAAGAGAAAACCUGCAGAUUCACAUGAGGGAGGAGUGCAGGUGCUGUAACCUUUUGCUGCUGGUCCUGUCAGAGUGAAAAACCCAGCUGUGCGGUGGGAAUGACAUACUGCAAAUAGGCCUUCAGCGUCUUAUUGGCAUUCAGGGGGCCUCUCUCUCCUCCUCCUUCUUCUUCUUCUCCUUCUCCUUCUUCUUCUUCUCUCUCUCCUCUGCGCCCCUCACUCACACACUCAGAUCCACUUCCUCGCUUGUCACCAUGCAUAUUGAUAAGCCCAUCCAGAGCACCAUCUUGUGGACAUUUCCAACUCUGGCGGUUGUCUAAAAUGUCACUUUUGAUUACAUUCAAUUUAGCAACUGACUCAUCAGGUUCAAUCAGAAACGCCCGGGUGUUUUUUUUUUUGUUUCCCCCCCCCCCCCCCCCCUCUUUAAGGACACGAUUUCAAUUAUGAAUCCAAUUUAUGGAAAUCAAUUCUCUCUAUUAUAAAAUAUAGCCGUCAUUAGCAUUGUCUGUCUCCUGUCUCUUCUCCUUGGCAUUUGGCUCAGCCAGACACAACUGAGCCAGCUUCUUUUUUAAUUCAUGACUCCUAGUUUUGAAGUGGGAUCAAAGGGAUAAGUUUUAGAGCAACAAGCAGAACUUUUUUUUUUAAUGUUUUUUGCAUAACAAACAGCGACAAAAACCAGUCUUACCCACAGUUCCAAAUACCCCCCACCAGCUCAUGUAAAUUGCAUUCCCGAAUUCGAUGUGCGUGUGUGCUGGCAUGAUAAUCUGCCUCCCCAGGGUGUGCGAUUGGUGCAACCCCACCGCCUGUGUUGUGGUGCAGCCAUCUGGAUCUCAGCGGGGAACACAUGACACCUUAACACGACAUCUGCUGCACUCUCCUCGCCAGUCGCCUCCAACUGGAAGCCCUUUCCCCUGUAUUAGCAAUAAAUGUUUGUGCCCCAAAGGCGUCGAUCGAAUGCAUUUCAGACCGAAUCUGUUGCAUUCGUUGAGAAUUGUUGUGAUUCUGCUGCUCUUUUUCAGCAACAUCCUGCAUACAUAUUGUUAUCUUUUAAAGCAGCACCAUGUCAGACCUUUUAAUCAGAAGAGAAAGAUCUUCAUUGACUGACUUUUUUAUGCUUGAAUAAAAUAAAUAAACAAGCGCUAUUUGCUUUCAUGACAGAUUAAACUGAAUAAAUAAACUGACCUCAAAGGACA
Long non-coding RNA from Acanthopagrus latus (yellowfin seabream), 1483 nucleotides. RefSeq lists it as uncharacterized. The transcript is spliced from 2 exons. NCBI's taxonomy places the organism in Eukaryota, Metazoa, Chordata, Actinopteri, Spariformes, Sparidae. The record is from RefSeq and is a predicted model, not a curated record.